This 274-nucleotide ribosomal RNA is filed under the name uncultured bacterium. Its description in RNAcentral is "partial 16S ribosomal RNA". The record is from RNAcentral.
CUGCUGCCUUCCGUAGGAGUCUGGUCCGUGUCUCAGUACCAGUGUGGGGGACCUUCCUCUCAGAACCCCUACGCAUCGUCGGUUAGGUGGGCCGUUACCCCGCCUACUGCCUAAUGCGCCGCAUGCCAUCCCUGUCCGGCCGAAGCCUUUCCUGCCUCCGGGAUGCCCCGGUGGCAUGUACGCGGGUUUAGCCCGCCUUUCGGCGGGUUGUCCCCCUGACAGGGGCAGGUUGCAUACGUGUUACUCACCCGUGCGCCGGUCGCCGGCGGAGAAA